Molecule: ribosomal RNA, 327 nt
Filed under: Pseudocloeon sp. BMNH 704646
Lineage: Eukaryota; Metazoa; Arthropoda; Insecta; Ephemeroptera; Baetidae
Description: partial 12S ribosomal RNA
Source: RNAcentral
ANUAGUAGGUCNNNAACCCCACCCNGAGUAGUAAAAGUCUUAUGCUCCAAACUCAAAGAAUUUGGCGGCGUACUACCUAACCAGAGGAACCUGCCCCAUAAUCGAUGACCCACGAAAUGUCUAACCCUGUCUUAAAGCUUGUAUACCGCCGUYUAGGGUACAUUUAAAAAUUUACUCAAAUUUAAUUUAUUAAAUAAAUCAGGUCAAGGUGCAGCCAAUGGCGGGGAUGGGAGGUGGGUUACAUUAACUAAUACGUGGAUAGGGAAACUUACACGCCCCUUAAAAUUGGAUUUGUAAGUAAGUUUACUUUAAUAAACUGAUUAAGCC